Molecule: ribosomal RNA, 1346 nt
Filed under: uncultured bacterium
Lineage: Bacteria
Description: partial 16S ribosomal RNA
Rfam family: Bacterial small subunit ribosomal RNA
Source: RNAcentral
GACGAACGCUGGCGGCGUGCUUAACACAUGCAAGUCGAACGGAAAGGCCCUGCUUUUGUGGGGUGCUCGAGUGGCGAACGGGUGAGUAACACGUGAGUAACCUGCCCUUGACUUUGGGAUAACUUCAGGAAACUGGGGCUAAUACCGGAUAGGAGCUCCUGCUGCAUGGUGGGGGUUGGAAAGUUUCGGCGGUUGGGGAUGGACUCGCGGCUUAUCAGCUUGUUGGUGGGGUAGUGGCUUACCAAGGCUUUGACGGGUAGCCGGCCUGAGAGGGUGACCGGCCACAUUGGGACUGAGAUACGGCCCAGACUCCUACGGGAGGCAGCAGUGGGGAAUAUUGCACAAUGGGCGGAAGCCUGAUGCAGCAACGCCGCGUGCGGGGUGACGGCCUUCGGGUUGUAAACCGCUUUCGCCUGUGACGAAGCGUGAGUGACGGUAAUGGGUAAAGAAGCACCGGCUAACUACGUGCCAGCAGCCGCGGUGAUACGUAGGGUGCGAGCGUUGUCCGGAUUUAUUGGGCGUAAAGGGCUCGUAGGUGGUUGAUCGCGUCGGAAGUGUAAUCUUGGGGCUUAACCCUGAGCGUGCUUUCGAUACGGGUUGACUUGAGGAAGGUAGGGGAGAAUGGAAUUCCUGGUGGAGCGGUGGAAUGCGCAGAUAUCAGGAGGAACACCAGUGGCGAAGGCGGUUCUCUGGGCCUUUCCUGACGCUGAGGAGCGAAAGCGUGGGGAGCGAACAGGCUUAGAUACCCUGGUAGUCCACGCUGUAAACGGUGGGUACUAGGUGUGGGGUCCAUUCCACGGGUUCCGUGCCGUAGCUAACGCUUUAAGUACCCCGCCUGGGGAGUACGGCCGCAAGGCUAAAACUCAAAGGAAUUGACGGGGCCCCGCACAAGCGGCGGAGCAUGCGGAUUAAUUCGAUGCAACGCGUAGAACCUUACCUGGGUUUGACAUGGAUCGGGAGUGCUCAGAGAUGGGUGUGCCUCUUUUGGGGUCGGUUCACAGGUGGUGCAUGGCUGUCGUCAGCUCGUGUCGUGAGAUGUUGGGUUAAGUCCCGCAACGAGCGCAACCCUUGUUCACUGUUGCCAGCACGUUAUGGUGGGGACUCAGUGGAGACCGCCGGGGUCAACUCGGAGGAAGGUGGGGAUGACGUCAAGUCAUCAUGCCCCUUAUGUCCAGGGCUUCACGCAUGCUACAAUGGCUGGUACAGAGAGUGGCGAGCCUGUGAGGGUGAGCGAAUCUCGGAAAGCCGGUCUCAGUUCGGAUUGGGGUCUGCAACUCGACCUCAUGAAGUCGGAGUCGCUAGUAAUCGCAGAUCAGCAACGCUGCGGUGAAUACGUUCCCGGGGCU